Malurus melanocephalus (red-backed fairy wren) is the source of this 4311-nucleotide RNA transcript. It is a transcript of the gene named heterogeneous nuclear ribonucleoprotein A2/B1, with no coding region annotated. The record is from RefSeq and is a predicted model, not a curated record. The transcript is spliced from 12 exons. NCBI's taxonomy places the organism in Eukaryota, Metazoa, Chordata, Aves, Passeriformes, Maluridae.
GGCGAGCACUGCGCGCCGGCGGCUGUGACGGGGCAGAGCGCACGACGCCGCCGCCGCCUACGCGCGAGCCGCUACAACCUCCGACCGUCGUCGCCGCCGGCACAGGAGGGGGGCCAAGACGUCUCUCCAACGCGGGGCGAGCGCAGGACCGCGCCAGGCGUCCAAAAGAAGGAAGAUGCCUCGCGGCGACAGGGAAAGCGACUGGAGGGAAAAGGAGCAGUUCCGCAAACUGUUUAUUGGUGGCUUGAGCUUUGAAACCACAGAAGAAAGCUUGAGGAGUUACUAUGAGCAAUGGGGAAAGCUUACAGACUGUGUGGUAAUGAGGGAUCCUGCAAGCAAAAGAUCAAGGGGGUUCGGUUUYGUAACAUUCUCUUCCAUGGCUGAAGUUGAUGCGGCUAUGGCUGCAAGACCUCACACAAUUGAUGGAAGGGUGGUUGAGCCUAAGAGAGCUGUGGCUAGAGAGGAAUCUGGAAAACCUGGUGCUCAUGUUACUGUGAAAAAACUAUUUGUUGGUGGUAUUAAAGAGGACACUGAAGAGCACCACCUUCGUGACUACUUUGAGGAAUAUGGAAAAAUUGACACUAUUGAAAUAAUUACUGACCGACAGUCUGGUAAAAAGAGAGGGUUUGGAUUUGUUACAUUUGAUGACCAUGAUCCUGUGGAUAAAAUUGUAUUGCAGAAAUACCACACCAUCAAUGGCCAUAAUGCAGAAGUAAGGAAAGCUCUCUCUAGACAGGAAAUGCAGGAGGUUCAAAACUCUAGGAGUGGGAGAGGAGGGAACUUUGGUUUUGGUGAUGCUCGUGGAGGUGGUGGCAACUUUGGUCCAGGACCUGGCAGCAAUUUCAGAGGGGGAGCUGAUGGAUAUGGAAGUGGCCGUGGAUUUGGUGAUGGAUAUAAUGGAUAUGGUGGAGGACCUGGAGGUGGCAACUUUGGUGGCAGUCCUGGUUACGGAGGAGGAAGAGGAGGAUAUGGUGGAGGAGGACCUGGAUAUGGCAACCAGGGUGGGGGCUAUGGAGGUGGUUAUGACAACUAUGGAGGAGGCAAUUAUGGAAGUGGAAACUAUAAUGAUUUUGGAAACUACAACCAACAACCUUCAAAUUAUGGUCCGAUGAAGAGUGGAAAUUUUGGUGGCAGCAGGAACAUGGGGGGACCAUAUGGUGGAGGAAACUAUGGUCCUGGGGGCAGUGGAGGAAGUGGUGGAUAUGGAGGGAGGAGCCGUUACUGAGUUUUCUCAAGCAUGCCAUGGCUAUGAUAUGAACCCUGGACAAGCAUAGACUGCUGCCACUGUACACUGCUACAGUUGAACAAAUGAGACCUGCAAGUGUCCAUUAGUAAAGCUUUGCAAGGGUUCCAUCCCUGGUGUUGGUAGUUAAAAUGGAAGGUGCCAUGCUGCAGGUAACUAAUGAAGAAGUGGUCAACCACAGAAACGCUUCAAGAAAUAAGAAAUUCUGUAUCAUCAGAAAAUAGUUGUUUUUGCUGCCUUCAUUAAAAAUCUAGAGGUUAAAUGAAUACUGAUAAAAGAUCACAAUUAGUACAGCUCCCUGUAAUGAUGGGUUUUUAAAUUAUAGUAAUGUCUUGUAAGCCUUUCGAAUAAAUUCAGAUUCGUUAGGAGAAACAAAUCACUAAUGUUAAAAUAGCAAACAUUCUGUGAGUAGAAAAUUUAACUACAUAUAUUUAUAACUUUCAUAGCUUUAAAAUAAAGUAUUUUUAUACCAAAGUAGUUCUAGUGUAAUGCUUAAUAAAAACUUAGUGUGUAUCUAACAUUAAAUAAUGUUUAUGUUUAGACCCUUUUCAUGAUUUGAAACAUUCCAUUUUGAGGUGAAUUUAAAACAAAAUCAGUUUGACAAGUGUGUUCACAGAACUUGUUUCUCUGACCAUAGGCAUCUGUUCUCUGUUGGGAGAAACAGUGCUUCAAAUUUAAAGUGCUGAUGUCUUUACUGUUGGACACAGGUGCUUAAAAAUACCUUUUUUUGGCUGUGUUUUAUAUUACUUCUUUCCUGUUAAUGGAACUAAUGACCUAAGUCAGUUUGUCAGAUUGUGAUAGGACAAGAACUUUUACUUUUUCACCUGUAAAGAGGUUUUCGUGCGAAGACUGACUGGAAUGUAGAGUUCCUGCUGUACAAAACUGUAUUAUUGAUAGCUCCAUCUGGGGACGGAAAAAAAUACCAAAACAAAAAUUUGCAAACGAAAACACUAUCAAACACCAAGUGUUUGGGAGAACUUCAGCUGGGAGUSUAUUUAAGGAAUGGUAUCUUGAGGUUAUACUGUUUUAACCACUUCAUACAUGGUUUAUUCGAAACUUGAAAUUUAUAUGUUUUGGCAGAAUCAUUGUGUCUAACCUUUAUAAUACUGUUUAAGGAUUCACAUACAAUUUUUUUUUUCUGUUUCUUAAGUUGAACUUUGCAAUAUUUGUAUAGGUAACUGGUGGGCUGCAACGGAAGCAGAAAAUGAAGAUGCACAAAUCUGCUUUACUUUCUUCUUUCCAACAGAAUGACCAGAUCAUAAGGAAUUUGCCUUCUUUCCUGUGACUUAGAUGUCGUUGAUGGAAGUUUUUUCUUUACAGUUGCCAAGUCCACAUUCUUACGCCAUUUUAAAACAUCAAAAUAAUUUCAAAGGGCAGUAAUUACUUUUCUGUUUGAGAUACUCUUUCAGUAGUUUUGCAGUAAGGCUUAAAAUUUACUUGAAUUAAGAAUAUUUUCCAUGAUGAGGGUGUUCUCAUUUUGAUCUGUUGGCAGUGGGGGAAGGGAGKGUGUAGGGAUACAGCAUUGUGCAAGAAUGAAGUUACUGGGUAUUUGAAGUCUUGACACUACGGUGUAGUUAAGUUUCCUGAUGUCCUACCUAUGAACUUACUCACGACUUUUCUCUUGGUAUGUUCUUAAGGCAAGUGACAGUCACAAUGUUCACCAAUUAGUUUGGUGAGAGAAGUCACAUUUUUCAGUCAACCUCAUACUGGAAGUUAGCAACUUCAAAUAAAAAUAGCAUUGUGUGGUCAAUUACUGGUUAUCAGUUYGUAGACAAUGUACUCUUGAUUUCUGUCAGAUUGGGUCUUGUCACGACAAGACUUUUUCAAAGUAAGCAUAACAUUACAGUGUUUUCAGGUACUAAAUGCUGAGGAUCAGGUUCUCAGUACUAGGCCCCCAGCAAACACUUUGUGCUGCAAACUGAGGGAAAAAGAAAAACAACAACUUGUUGAUAACUGUUUUGUGAGCCAAAGAACACCAAAAUUAGUGUAUGACUUGUAUUUAURAAGUGAUGGUGAAAAGAGGUUAGUAGUAGGAUUCUGACCACUCACACUUUAUUUACAAUGAACAUUGAAUUUCAGUUGUUCUGCUGCAAGUGCUGAAAAGCACUUAGGAAAAUGUGAACAAUGGCUUUUAAUGCAGUAAAAUCAACAGGACUUGGACUCUGAUGUGUGGGAAAGAAGAAUUGCAUUCUUUCAGUGUUACUAUGAAUAUAUAUGUUAUCUUGGUGAUGAAGUAGUUUCAUUUCUGGGGAAGAAUGUACAAGCCCUAGAAAUGGAUGUGAAUUUUCAAGCAGUUGUCAGCUGAGUUUGUCUUGGCAGCUUGACCUCAUCUGUGGUAGAGGAACAUGCUGGGACUGUACAUUCCCUGUAGGUUUAAUGUUUCAUUUUGGUUUUGAAGCAGAGCAUGUGAUGCAAGUGAAACCCCAGAGUAGUGCUGUUAUUCUUUCCCACCUAAGGGAGAUGGCUGUUUCUCUUCAUGUUUAUUCAGCCAUACAUUGAAUGGUGUCUAGGGGUGCAUAGGAGUGUUAAAUGGAACGGUUUGCCUGGGUAAUAAUGAUGUAUUUUGCCAGAAGUACUGUCCCUUCUAACARUCGUGUUCUCGUUUUGCAGCUACUGUUGGUUUAUGUUGCACAGAAAUUUCAGUGUUGUCAGGAGUUACUCCAGUUAAUGGAACAAGAACUGGUUUAUCGGCAGUAAAAUUAACAGUGUAUGAAUAGCUGUGUGAUUUGCGGUCACUGCUAUGAACAUAGUAGGUCAACAGUGUUUGGGGACCUUGURGUUACAAACUAGCUUAUGUGACCUCCCAUACCACUUCACUAUAUCAGAAAGGGUGACGGGGAAAGUCGUAGAAAAUUUGCAGUUAUUAGCAGUCUUCGCGCUUCUUGGUCAGUUUUGGGGCAUUCUUGUAGGAGAAUGGGUGGCUGGUGGAUGGACUACAUGGAGUUCUAGUAACUGCGCAGCAGAUGUCAAAUUGCAGCACUUUAUGAAGUACACUACACUAACAAAACUUCACACGGUUACAUCUGCCAUCUCUAUGCGGUUUACUUAAUAAAUAAUUUUUCAUUACA